RNAcentral lists this transfer RNA (78 nucleotides) under Candidatus Omnitrophota bacterium. RNAcentral's name for it is "tRNA-His". It matches the Rfam family "tRNA". Rfam says of the family: Transfer RNA (tRNA) molecules are approximately 80 nucleotides in length. Their secondary structure includes four short double-helical elements and three loops (D, anti-codon, and T loops). Lineage: Bacteria; Pseudomonadati; Candidatus Omnitrophota. The record is from RNAcentral.
GCGAGUGUAGCUCAACUUGGUGAGAGCACCUGACUGUGGCUCAGGGUGUUGCCGGUUCAAAUCCGGUCACUCGCCCCA